CAGGCCUAACACAUGCAAGUCGAGCGGAUGAGUGGAGCUUGCUCCAUGAUUCAGCGGCGGACGGGUGUGUAAUGCCUAGGAAUCUGCCUGGUAGUGGGGGACAACGUUUCGAAAGGAGCGCUAAUACCGCAUACGUCCUACGGGAGAAAGUGGGGGAUCUUCGGACCUCACGCUAUCAGAUGAGCCUAGGUCGGAUUAGCUAGUUGGUGAGGUAAAGGCUCACCAAGGCGACGAUCCGUAACUGGUCUGAGAGGAUGAUCAGUCACACUGGAACUGAGACACGGUCCAGACUCCUACGGGAGGCAGCAGUGGGGAAUAUUGGACAAUGGGCGAAAGCCUGAUCCAGCCAUGCCGCGUGUGUGAAGAAGGUCUUCGGAUUGUAAAGCACUUUAAGUUGGGAGGAAGGGCAGUAAGUUAAUACCUUGCUGUUUUGACGUUACCAACAGAAUAAGCACCGGCUAACUUCGUGCCAGCAGCCGCGGUAAU
Molecule: ribosomal RNA, 486 nt
Filed under: uncultured bacterium
Lineage: Bacteria
Description: bacterial SSU rRNA
Rfam family: Bacterial small subunit ribosomal RNA
Source: RNAcentral